Molecule: ribosomal RNA, 175 nt
Filed under: uncultured bacterium
Lineage: Bacteria
Description: partial 16S ribosomal RNA
Rfam family: Bacterial small subunit ribosomal RNA
Source: RNAcentral
AAUACCGGAUGUGAACGCAAGUUCAAAGUUGGGGACCGUAAGGCCUGACGCUUCACGAUGAGCCCGCGGCCUAUCAGCUAGUUGGUGAGGUAACGGCUCACCAAGGCUAAGACGGGUAGCUGGUCUGAGAGGACGACCAGCCACACUGGAACUGAGACACGGUCCACACACCUAC